Molecule: ribosomal RNA, 1389 nt
Filed under: Endocarpon pallidulum
Lineage: Eukaryota; Fungi; Ascomycota; Eurotiomycetes; Verrucariales; Verrucariaceae
Description: eukaryotic LSU rRNA
Rfam family: Eukaryotic large subunit ribosomal RNA
Source: RNAcentral
AUAUCAAUAAGCGGAGGAAAAGAAACCAACAGGGAUUGCCUCAGUAACGGCGAGUGAAGCGGCAACAGCUCAAAUUUGAAAUCUGGCCCCGCUGGGGGCCUGAGUUGUAAUUUGCAGAGGAUGCUUCGGGCAAGGCGGUGGUCUAAUCUGCUUGGAACAGCAAGUCGAAGAGGGUGAGAAUCCCGUCUAGGAUCGUCAGCCGCGUCCGUGUGAAGCUCCUUCGACGAGUCGAGUUGUUUGGGAAUGCAGCUCUAAAUGGGUGGUAAAUUUCAUCUAAAGCUAAAUAUGGGCCGGAGACCGAUAGCGCACAAGUAGAGUGAUCGAAAGAUGAAAAGCACUUUGAAAAGAGAGUUAAACAGUAUGUGAAAUUGUUGAAAGGGAAGCGCUUGCAACCAGACUUGUGACGGACGGUUCCCCCGACCUUCUGGCCGGGUUACUCCGUCACGUCCAGGCCAACAUCGGUUUGGGUGGUCGGUUAAAGACCCCGGGAAUGUAUCUACCUUCGGGUCGACUUAUAGCCCGGGGUGCAAUGCGGCCCACCCGGACCGAGGAACGCGCUCCGGCUCGGAUGUUGGCGUAAUGGUUGUAAGCGGCCCGUCUUGAAACACGGACCAAGGAGUCUAACAUCUGUGCGAGUGUUUGGGUGUGAAACCCCUACGCGGAAUGAAAGUGAACGGAGGUAAGAACCCCGUCAGGGGCGCAUUAUCGACCGAUCCUGGUGUCUUCGGAUGGAUUUGAGUAAGAGCAUAGCUGUUGGGACCCGAAAGAUGGUGAACUAUGCAUGAAUAGGGUGAAGCCAGAGGAAACUCUGGUGGAGGCUCGCAGCGGUUCUGACGUGCAAAUCGAUCGUCAAAUUUGUGCAUAGGGGCGAAAGACUAAUCGAACCAUCUGGUAGCUGGUUCCUGUCGAAGUUUCCCUCAGGAUAGCAGUAACGUUUUCAGUUUUAUGAGGUAAAGCGAAUGAUUAGAGGCCUUGGGGUUGCAACAACCUUAACCUAUUCUCAAACUUUAAAUAUGUAAGAAGUCCUUGUUGCUUAAUUGAACGUGGACAUUUGAAUGCAUCGUUACUAGUGGGCCAUUUUUGGUAAGCAGAACUGGCGAUGCGGGAUGAACCGAACGUGAGGUUAAGGUGCCGGAAUGCACGCUCAUCAGACACCACAAAAGGUGUCAAUGCAUCCAGACAGCCGGACGGUGGCCAUGGAAGUCGGAAUCCGCUUAGGAGUGUGUAACAACUCACCGGCCGAAUGCAUUGGCCCUGAAAAUGGAUGGCGCUUAAGCGUGCUACCUAUACCUCGCCGUUGGGGUUGAAAUGAUGCCCCAACGAGUAGGCAGGCGUGGGGGUUGGUGACGAAGCCUCGGGGGUGACCCCGGGUCGAACAACCUCUAGUGC